Myiozetetes cayanensis is the source of this 724-nucleotide long non-coding RNA. RefSeq lists it as uncharacterized. The record is from RefSeq and is a predicted model, not a curated record. Lineage: Eukaryota; Metazoa; Chordata; Aves; Passeriformes; Tyrannidae. The transcript is spliced from 2 exons.
UGAAGAUUUGGGGGUCUCUCGAGAAGGUGGAGGGGGCUCCUGGGGGUGGUGGAGGUGGUGGUGGUUGGUUGAGGAGGAGGCAGUUGAAGGGUCAAGAAGGAGGCGAGUAGGGGUCGACCAGGAGGAGUGGGGGUCGACCACGAGACUUGGGGGUCAACCAGGAGUCUUGGGGGUCAACCAAGAGUUAUGGGGGUCAACCAGAAGACUUGGAGGUCAACCAAGACUCCUGGAGGUCAACCAAGAGUUAUGGAGGUCAACCAAGAGUUUUGAAGGUCAACCAAGAGUUAUGGAAGUCAACCAAGACUUAUGGAGGUCAACCAAGAAUUUUGGGGGCCAUCCAAGAGUCAUGGAGAUCAACCAAGAGUCCUGAAGGUCAACCAAGAGUCAUGAAGGUCAACCAAGAGUCAUGAAGGUCAACCAAGAGUCCUGGAGAUCAACCAAGAGUCCUGGAGGUCAACCAAGAGUUUUGAAGGUCAACCAAGAGUCCUGGAGGUCAACCAAGAGUCACGAAGGUCAACCAAGAGUUUUGAAGGUCAACCAAGAGUCCUGGAGGUCAACCAAGAGUUAUGGAGGUCAACCAAGAAUUGUCAAGGUCAACCAAGAGUUGUGGAGGUCAACCAAGAGUUGUGGAGGUCAACCAAGAGUUUUGGAGGUCAACCAAGAGUCCUGGAGGCCAACCAAGACUCAUGAAGUCCAACCAAGACCCCUGAAGGCCAACCAGUAG